CCAGUCUAGGCUAGGAGCUUGAGAGCCGGCCUAGAAAAGAGAGGACUCAUUCUCUGGCUGAGGUCGUACUUUGCCUGUGAAAAUCACUUUAGGUUUUUGGUUUGAUCCAGCGCAUGGGCAGGUCAAGGACUCUUGGCAAAGACAGAGAGAGGUAUGGAAACUUUCCCACGCUUUCUGUCAUCCUAAAAGAAACACUGCAUCAACACUCUUGGCCCGGAUCUGGACACAGAAGACUUCUGUUUCAAGAAAAUACAGUCAUCUCUCAAAUCCUGUAAUUUAUAUGCAUUCUAAACUCACUAGGUAAACUAGAUGCCAAUAACCACAGCCACACACACAAAAAAGGCAGUGGUUGCAACUAUGUAAAAAUUUAUGCAUACAUACAGACAGUGACUAAAGUGGA
Molecule: long non-coding RNA, 400 nt
Filed under: Bos taurus (domestic cattle)
Lineage: Eukaryota; Metazoa; Chordata; Mammalia; Artiodactyla; Bovidae
Description: long non-coding RNA NONBTAT026276
Source: RNAcentral